GUAGGUGAACCUGCGGAAGGAUCAAUAUGGAGGGAGUGAGGAGAGUGAUAAGUGGAAAAAAAGUUUACAUUAUAUUCAAUCUACAACACACACACACAACUCAUAACAAUGGAUCUCUGGGCUCUU
RNAcentral lists this unclassified non-coding RNA (126 nucleotides) under rhizosphere metagenome. RNAcentral describes it as "partial ribosomal RNA internal transcribed spacer region". The record is from RNAcentral.